This 435-nucleotide ribosomal RNA is filed under the name uncultured bacterium. RNAcentral describes it as "partial 16S ribosomal RNA". It matches the Rfam family "Bacterial small subunit ribosomal RNA", at positions 29 to 507 of the family's 1533-position model. The record is from RNAcentral.
AACGAACGCUGGCGGCAUGCCUAACACAUGCAAGUCGAACGGGUACCUUCGGGUGCUAGUGGCGCACGGGUGCGUAACGCGUGGGAAUCUGCCCUUGGGUUCGGAAUAACUCAGCGAAAGCUGCGCUAAUACCGGAUGAUGUCGAAAGACCAAAGAUUUAUCGCCCGAGGAUGAGCCCGCGUUGGAUUAGCUAGUUGGUGGGGUAAAGGCCUACCAAGGCGACGAUCCAUAGCUGGUCUGAGAGGAUGAUCAGCCACACUGGGACUGAGACACGGCCCAGACUCCUACGGGAGGCAGCAGUGGGGAAUAUUGGACAAUGGGCGAAAGCCUGAUCCAGCAAUGCCGCGUGAGUGAUGAAGGCCUUAGGGUUGUAAAGCUCUUUUACCCGGGAUGAUAAUGACAGUACCGGGAGAAUAAGCUCCGGCUAACUCCGUG